GAUGAAGAACGCAGCGAAAUGCGAUAAGUAAUGUGAAUUGCAGAAUUCAGUGAAUCAUCGAAUCUUUGAACGCACAUUGCGCCCGCCAGUAUUCUGGCGGGCAUGCCUGUUCGAGCGUCAUUUCAACCAUCAAGCCCCAGGCUUGUGUUGGAGCCCUGCGGCUGCCGCAGCCUCCCAAAACCAGUGGCGGGCUCGCUAUCACACCGAGUGCAGUAGUUUACUCUUCGCUCAGGGCGUGUGGCGGAUGCUAGCCGUAAAACCCCCAACUUCUCAAGGUUGACCUCGGAUCAGGUAGGAAUACCCGCUGAACUUAAGCAUAUCAAUAAGCGGAGGA
RNAcentral lists this unclassified non-coding RNA (334 nucleotides) under soil metagenome. RNAcentral describes it as "partial contains 5.8S ribosomal RNA, internal transcribed spacer 2, and large subunit ribosomal RNA". The stretch from base 1 to 120 matches the Rfam family "5.8S ribosomal RNA", at positions 35 to 154 of the family's 154-position model. The record is from RNAcentral.